RNAcentral lists this ribosomal RNA (497 nucleotides) under uncultured bacterium. Its description in RNAcentral is "partial 16S ribosomal RNA". It matches the Rfam family "Bacterial small subunit ribosomal RNA", at positions 28 to 507 of the family's 1533-position model. The record is from RNAcentral.
GACGAACGCUGGCGGCGUGCCUAAUACAUGCAAGUUGAGCGCUGAAGGUUGGUACUUGUACCCACUGGAUGAGCAGCGAACGGGUGAGUAACGCGUGGGGAAUCUUCCUUUGAGCGGGGGACAAUAUUUGGAAACGAAUGCUAAUACCGCAUAAAAACUUUAAACACAAGAUUUAAGUUUGAAAGAUGCAAUUGCAUCACUCAAAGAUGAUCCCGCGUUGUAUUAGCUAGUUGGUGAGGUAAAGGCUCACCAAGGCGAUGAUACAUAGCCGGCCUGAGAGGGUGAUCGGCCAAAUUGGGGCUGAGACACGGCCCAAACUCCUACGGGAGGCAGCAGUAGGGAAUCUUCGGCAAAGGACGAAAGUCUGACCGAGCAACGCCGCGGGAGGGAAGAAGGUUGUCGGAUCGGAAAACUCUGUUGGUAGGGAAGAAAGUUGGUGAGAGUGGAAAGCUCAUCAAGUGACGGUAACUACCCAGAAAGGGACGGCUAACUACGUG